RNAcentral lists this ribosomal RNA (423 nucleotides) under uncultured bacterium. RNAcentral's name for it is "bacterial SSU rRNA". It matches the Rfam family "Bacterial small subunit ribosomal RNA", at positions 207 to 622 of the family's 1533-position model. The record is from RNAcentral.
AAGACCUUGCGCUUUUGGAGCGGCCGAUGCCUGAUUAGCUUGUUGGUAAGGUAAAAGCUUACCAAGGCUUCGAUCAGUAGCUGGUCUGAGAGGACGACCAGCCACACUGGGACUGAGACACGGCCCAGACUCCUACGGGAGGCAGCAGUGGGGAAUUUUGGACAAUGGGGGCAACCCUGAUCCAGCCAUGCCGCGUGAGUGAAGAAGGCCUUAGGGUUGUAAAGCUCUUUCAGCCGGAACGAAACGGUUACGGUUAAUACCCGUGACUACUGACGGUACCGGAAGAAGAAGCACCGGCUAACUACGUGCCAGCAGCCGCGGUAAUACGUAGGGUGCGAGCGUUAAUCGGAAUUACUGGGCGUAAAGCGUGCGCAGGUGGUUUUGUAAGUCAGAUGUGAAAGCCCCGGGCUCAACCUGGGAACU